Long non-coding RNA from Betta splendens (Siamese fighting fish), 1164 nucleotides. RefSeq lists it as uncharacterized. The transcript is spliced from 2 exons. The record is from RefSeq and is a predicted model, not a curated record. NCBI's taxonomy places the organism in Eukaryota, Metazoa, Chordata, Actinopteri, Anabantiformes, Osphronemidae.
GUGACUAACGCUGGGAAUCGGUCUGUUCUACGUCUGCGAGCGGCGACUAGGGCCCUGUGGUGCCUCGCACCCCCCCUCCACCCCCCCUCGCUCCAACUCGAACCCGGCACCGGUCGGCCGCCGACGAGCCGAGCGCGAAGCCCAGUGUCAGCGCACGGCGCCGAGCGCUUCCUCCCUGACAGCGCCAUGUGUGAGGUCAUAAAUCUGAUCGCCACGGCAACAGACUACAGCGGCACAGGUUCGCAGGAAGCAUCCCGGAUCGGGGAGGAUUUACGAGCCGUCAUGUGCGAGUGCACCCUGUGGCCGGCGUUCAUCGAAUGACAGAGUGGCAUCUUUAUAAGUGGAAGGACAACUGCCAUGCACCUUAAAUCAAUCCACAAAACAGGGCAGCUGAAAUAAAAUUUAAAGGGCCUGUAUCCAAAUAAAUAAGCAGGCUGGAAUAAGAAGCAGAUACUGGGGGAAUUAGGCCCCUGGUAGUGAUUAUUGCCCUGGUGGAGGUUUUUCCGUGCUGGUGCCCUGGCCCAGAGUCGUUACGUCUGAAUCGUUAAAGGAGCCCGCAGAGGGUUGGGCAUGUAUUAUUUUCAACACUUCAGAUUAAACCCUGCUACAGCUCUCCGAGGCCCCGCUAAUUCAGACCCCCUGCUGGGCAACGGCGAAAUUAAAAAAUGAGAGGGGGGGGGGUCGGCGACAGUGAAAGCAGUGUUAAGAUGGAGGUGGAAAUUGCAAAUGCGACGCUAGGAUGCCGGUGACGUCUUUGGAUGGAAAGCAAAUGCAGACAAUAUGUGGACCCCGCUGCAGAGCGACAUCCUCGGCGCUUUAAAGAAGAGCUUGGAUCGCGUCCUGAAAUGUGACGAGCGCGUGGAGGAGUCAGCGAAAGGCCAGCGAGCGUCCUCUCCGCCGCAUUUGUUUUGAUCACAAACAGCUUGUUGGUGGAUGAUGGAGAGAAAACGACACCCCAUAAAAAUGAAGACUCACUCAAGCAACUCUGUGAAAACCUAAUAUUCCUUGUUGAAAUGGAUUGGUGAAGACUUUGGUUAUUAAUGAUCAUUUUAAAUUUUAAAGCAAGAGCUAAUGUAGCCUUGCUACUUUAUGAGAGUUUUGAACCCAAUGCAGCCCCUGUGGUCACUGUGAUCUGAAAACUAUUAAAAACUUUAUUCUGCUUCA